RNAcentral lists this long non-coding RNA (503 nucleotides) under Ursus thibetanus thibetanus. RNAcentral describes it as "lncRNA (ENSUTTG00000000561.1)". Lineage: Eukaryota; Metazoa; Chordata; Mammalia; Carnivora; Ursidae. The record is from RNAcentral.
GUGAAAUUUGCUUUUGCAGCUGUUCUUUACAAAAUGGCUCCCAUUGAAUAAUGAGUGUCCUGCUUUUUAUUUAAAAAUUUUCAACCCAUAUUAGUUUCCAAAUAACAACAUCAAGUUUGUUGGCUUUGCUGAACUUGGCUGCAGGGUUGACCAGUACUUACUGGCACGUGAGCAGGCGCCCGUCCUCCUUCUGUUGACUGCUUCUUCAGUUACAGGAAUGAAAAAGAGAUUUUUCCAGAGAAGCUUCAGGGUUUUUCCCCUGAUGUCCAGCACUAGCACAACUCAUGACUUCAUUUAAGAUGCUGAAAUAAACUCUAAUUGAAUGCACCAUCUGGAAACAUUGAACUACAUGGAGAAAGCAGUGGGAUCAAUUCACAUCAUCCUCCACACCCCCACUGGGAGCAAGUUGAUGCUGAGUGGCAGCAAUGGGGAGCUCUUGAAAUUAAAUGUCACCUCCAUACCACUCCCUCUCCUCAAACCAUGGCCUAAAUUGAAGCAGAUGG